This 442-nucleotide ribosomal RNA is filed under the name uncultured Porphyromonadaceae bacterium. RNAcentral describes it as "bacterial SSU rRNA". It matches the Rfam family "Bacterial small subunit ribosomal RNA", at positions 355 to 794 of the family's 1533-position model. The record is from RNAcentral. Lineage: Bacteria; Pseudomonadati; Bacteroidota; Bacteroidia; Bacteroidales; Porphyromonadaceae.
UGAGGAAUAUUGGUCAAUGGGCGAGAGCCUGAACCAGCCAAGUCGCGUGAAGGAUGAAGGUUCUAUGGAUUGUAAACUUCUUUUAUUCGAGGGUAAAGUGAGGUACGUGUACCUUAUUGCAAGUAUCGAAUGAAUAAGCAUCGGCUAACUCCGUGCCAGCAGCCGCGGUAAUACGGAGGAUGCGAGCGUUAUCCGGAUUUAUUGGGUUUAAAGGGUGCGUAGGCGGAUUAUUAAGUCAGCGGUGAAAGCGUGUGGCUCAACCAUACAAUUGCCGUUGAUACUGGUAGUCUUGAGUGUAAACGAGGUAGGCGGAAUGUGAUGUGUAGCGGUGAAAUGCUUAGAUAUCUGGAAGAACAUCAGUGGCGAAGGCGGCUAUCUGGCUCGUAACUGACGCUGAGAUGCGAAAGCGUGGGUAGCAAACAGGAUUAGAUACCCUGGUAGU